This 426-nucleotide ribosomal RNA is filed under the name uncultured Paenibacillus sp. Its description in RNAcentral is "bacterial SSU rRNA". It matches the Rfam family "Bacterial small subunit ribosomal RNA", at positions 355 to 774 of the family's 1533-position model. The record is from RNAcentral. Lineage: Bacteria; Bacillati; Bacillota; Bacilli; Caryophanales; Paenibacillaceae.
UAGGGAAUCUUCGGCAAUGGACGAAAGUCUGACCGAGCAACGCCGCGUGAGUGAUGAAGGGUUUCGGCUCGUAAAACUCUGUUGCCAAGGAAGAAGGAUGGGGAGAGUAACUGCUCUUCAUUUGACGGUACUUGAGAAGAAAGCCCCGGCUAACUACGUGCCAGCAGCCGCGGUAAUACGUAGGGGGCAAGCGUUGUCCGGAUUUAUUGGGCGUAAAGCGCGCGCAGGCGGUUGUUUAAGUCGGGUGUCUAAACCUUGGGCUCAACCUGGGGACGCAUCCGAAACUGGGCAACUGGAGUGUAGGAGAGGAAAGUGGAAUUCCACGUGUAGCGGUGAAAUGCGUAGAGAUGUGGAGGAACACCAGUGGCGAAGGCGACUUUCUGGCCUAUAACUGACGCUGAGGCGCGAAAGCGUGGGGAGCAAACA